AGAGUUUGAUCAUGGCUCAGGACGAACGCUGGCGGCGUGCCUAACACAUGCAAGUCGAACGGGGUUACACGAGGUGCUUGCACCAUGUGGAACCUAGUGGCGGACGGGUGAGUAACGCGUGAGCAACCUGCCUUUCAGAGGGGGAUAACAACGGGAAACCGUUGCUAAUACCGCAUAAUACCGGAUGAUGGCAUCAUUGACCGGUCAAAGGAGCAAUCCGCUGAAAGAUGGGGCUCGCGUCCCAUUAGGUAGUUGGUGGGGUAAAGGCCUACCAAGCCGACGAUGGGUAGCCGGACUGAGAGGUUGAUCGGCCACAUUGGAACUGAGACACGGUCCAAACUCCUACGGGAGGCA
This 354-nucleotide ribosomal RNA is filed under the name uncultured bacterium. Its description in RNAcentral is "bacterial SSU rRNA". It matches the Rfam family "Bacterial small subunit ribosomal RNA", at positions 8 to 350 of the family's 1533-position model. The record is from RNAcentral.